This 497-nucleotide ribosomal RNA is filed under the name uncultured bacterium. RNAcentral's name for it is "partial 16S ribosomal RNA". It matches the Rfam family "Bacterial small subunit ribosomal RNA", at positions 28 to 507 of the family's 1533-position model. The record is from RNAcentral.
GAUGAACGCUGGCGGCGUGCCUAAUACAUGCAAGUCGAGCGAACGGACGAGAAGCUUGCUUCUCUUAUGUUAGCGGCGGACGGGUGAGUAACACGUGGAUAACCUACCUAUAAGACUGGGAUAACUUCGGGAAACCGGAGCUAAUACCGGAUAAUAUUUUGAACCGCAUGGUUCAAAAGUGAAAGACGGUCUUGCUGUCACUUAUAGAUGGAUCCGCGCUGCAUUAGCUAGUUGGUAAGGUAACGGCUUACCAACGCAACGAUGCAUAGCCGACCUGAGAGGGUGAUCGGCCACACUGGAACUGAGACACGGUCCAGACUCCUACGGGAGGCAGCAGUAGGGAAUCUUCCGCAAUGGGCGAAAGCCGGACGGAGCAACGCCGCGUGAGUGAUGAAGGCCUUCGGAUCGUAAAACUCUGUUAUUAGGGAAGAACAUAUGUGUAAGUAACUGUGCACAUCUUGACGGUACCUAAUCAGAAAGCCACGGCUAACUACGUG